AUUGAACGCUGGCGGCAUGCCUUACACAUGCAAGUCGAACGGCAGCACGGGAGCAAUCCCGGUGGCGAGUGGCGAACGGGUGAGUAAAGUAUCGGAACGUGCCCAGUCGUGGGGGAUAACGUAGCGAAAGUUACGCUAAUACCGCAUACGAUCUAUGGAUGAAAGCGGGGGAUCGCAAGACCUCGCGCGAUUGGAGCGGCCGAUAUACGAUUAGGUAGUUGGUGGGGUAAAGGCUCACCAAGCCGACGAUCUGUAGCUGGUCUGAGAGGACGACCAGCCACACUGGGACUGAGACACGGCCCAGACUCCUACGGGAGGCAGCAGUGGGGAAUUUUGGACAAUGGGCGAAAGCCUGAUCCAGCCAUGCCGCGUGCAGGAUGAAGGCCUUCGGGUUGUAAACCGCCUUUGUACGGAACGAAAAGGUUUGGCCUAAUAAGCUGAGCUCAUGACGGUACCGUAAGAAUAAGCACCGGCUAACUACGUGCCAGCCGCCGCGGUAA
This 500-nucleotide ribosomal RNA is filed under the name uncultured bacterium. RNAcentral describes it as "partial 16S ribosomal RNA". It matches the Rfam family "Bacterial small subunit ribosomal RNA", at positions 30 to 523 of the family's 1533-position model. The record is from RNAcentral.